Non-coding RNA from Prunus avium (sweet cherry), 1733 nucleotides. NCBI's taxonomy places the organism in Eukaryota, Viridiplantae, Streptophyta, Magnoliopsida, Rosales, Rosaceae. The record is from RefSeq and is a predicted model, not a curated record.
GCAGAAGCAAAAAACCAAGGAGCUCAUCCCAUUCCCAGGUGACGACCGAUUACAAAUUUACAAGGCGACAGAAGAAAAGACAAUGCAGCACCACCACCACCACUCAUCCACAGCCACCUCAUCGGACUAUGGCUCCAAGAGCCACCGCUCGCUCGCCCUCUUACAUCCUUCCAUCCGUCGUCGCCUUAUCCCUCCUCUCUCUCGUUGUCGUUGUCUACAAGGUGGACGACUUCGCCACUCAGACGAAGACAUUGGCGGGCCACAACCUUGACCCAACGCCAUGGCACCUCUUCCCUCCCAAGACCUUUUCCGACGAGGCCCUUCACGACCGAGCCUACAAGCUCAUCCACUGCUCCUACCUCGCUUGCCGCUACAGAAACAACGACAUCCCUGAACGGCAUCGUCCUCCUUCGUCCAGCGCGAAAGCCCCAAAAUGCCCCAAUUUCUUCCGAUGGAUCCACCACGAUCUGGAGCCGUGGGCCCGAACCCGGAUCUCCGCGGCCCAUCUGGAGGCGGCAAAGCAGUACGCUGCGUUUCGUGUGGUGAUUGUUGGCGGGAAGCUGUAUGUGGAUUUGUACUGGGCUUGUGUGCAGAGCCGAGCCAUGUUCACCAUUUGGGGUUUGCUGCAGCUCCUUGCGAGGUACCCGGAUCGGGUUCCGGAUGUAGAUAUCAUGUUUGAUUGUAUGGACAAGCCCAUUAUUAACCGGACCGAGCAUGAAUCAAUGCCUUUGCCACUUUUCCGGUACUGUACGGAUGAAGAUCACUUUGAUAUCCCAUUUCCUGAUUGGUCUUUCUGGGGUUGGUAAGAAUCAUCAGUCUUUGAUUAUUAUAUGCUUGUUUUAUACGCAUUGCCCUUGACUCAAUGGGAAAGAACCUACAUUUAUGAUUUGUUUGUGUAUGCUUGAAUUGCUAUAAGAAAUUGUAAAUUGGAAUAUGCUUGGCUCCGAUCCUGCAUCUCACAAAUCUUUUCCUCCUGUUGAAGGUAUAAAAUCUAUGCAGAAGGCUAUGCUUGGUCCGUGAGCUUGAAAUAUAUUGUAUCAUGUGGUUCUCUUGCAUUAAUAAUAACCCCUCAAUAUGAGGAUUUCUUCAGCCGUGGUCUCAUUCCUAGGGUUAACUAUUGGCCUAUCUCUCCCAAUGCUAUAUGCCCGUCCAUAAAGUCUGCUGUUGACUGGGCCCAUGGACACCAAUCUGAGGCUAAGGAAAUAGGACAAAGAGGGCAAGAUUUUAUGGAAAGCCUAAGCAUGGACCGGGUCUAUGAUUACAUGUUUCACCUCAUCACAGAGUACUCGAAGCUACUGGACUUCAAGCCAGUCCCUCCAGAUUCUGCUCUGGAAGUGUGUGCGGAAUCCCUGAUUUGUCUUGCCGACACGAAACAGAGGCAUUUUUUUGAAAAGACAACUGCAUACCCUUCUGCUAGCCCCCCAUGCACUCUCCAGUCGGCCGAUAGUAAUCUCAUCAAGAGAUGGAGGCAGAAAAAGAAGGAAAUAAUGGAGGCUGUGGAGGAUAUGAAUCCAAAAGAAUUGAGACGAUUAAACUAGGAUGCUGCCAUAGUUUUAUAUAAUCAUAAUUUUAUAGAGUUUUUAGUUGGUGGGUAGUCUUAGAUGACCCCUGAAGUAGGGUUUUCUUCCCCCGUAAUUAUUUUUUUGCGUGUAAAGAGUAUAGCAUUGGUGGACAACAUUUGGGACUGGAAAAAGACACAUACAACAAUAAAAUACUUUGUGAUUAUUUUCUUC